RNAcentral lists this ribosomal RNA (253 nucleotides) under uncultured bacterium. Its description in RNAcentral is "partial 16S ribosomal RNA". It matches the Rfam family "Bacterial small subunit ribosomal RNA", at positions 524 to 776 of the family's 1533-position model. The record is from RNAcentral. RNAcentral also lists the same sequence under 2 other names.
UACGGAGGGUGCAAGCGUUGUCCGGAUUUAUUGGGUUUAAAGGGUGCGUAGGCGGCCCCUUAAGUCAGUGGUGAAAGCCCGCGGCUCAACCGCGGAACUGCCAUUGAUACUGGGGGGCUUGAGUACAGACGAGGUAGGCGGAAUUGAAGAUGUAGCGGUGAAAUGCUUAGAUAUCUUCAAGAACACCGAUUGCGUAGGCAGCUUACUAGGCUGUAACUGACGCUGAGGCACGAAAGCGUGGGGAGCGAACAGG